This 3902-nucleotide long non-coding RNA is filed under the name Sus scrofa (pig). Its description in RNAcentral is "lncRNA (ENSSSCG00000042205.1)". Lineage: Eukaryota; Metazoa; Chordata; Mammalia; Artiodactyla; Suidae. The record is from RNAcentral.
GUCUUUCUGCCAUUUCUUGGGCCACUCCCACGGCAUACAGAGAUUCCCAGGCAAGGGGUCCAAUAGGAGCUGUAGCUGCCGGCCUACACUACAGCUCCCGGCAAUGCCAGAUCCUUAACCCACUGAGCAAGGCCAGGGAUCAAACCCGCAACCUCAUGGUUCCUAGUCAGAUUUGUUAACCACUGAGCCAAGACAGGAACACCCUGAGGGCUGUCUUACAGCAGCAUAAAGCCCCACCCUCAUGACCCCGUGGCUUCCUCACACUGUCACGGGGGGGGGGGGGGUGUUAGGACUCAACACGUGAACUCGGGGACAUGAACAGACAGAGCAGCCUCGGACACUCACGUGUCGCUGCUCCUGCCACUUUAUCCGGGGCGGGGGGCGGUGGUUUCGUGUCCAUCACUUCCAGCCGAUCCUCUCUGGGUCCUGGGUAUCGGGGUGAGGGGCCCGUGCACCUGGGAGACCGUUGAAAGCUGCGGUCGCACAUCUGAGCUUUGGUGUCAGACAGACCUGGAGUUAAAUCCCGGCUCCACCCCUUGCUUGCUGUGACCCCGAGUGAGGCCCCAUGAGCCCAUUUAUCCACCUGUGGAAUGUCUUUGAGAGCUUACCUAGCCCCUGGGUGACAGGCCUUCUCCUGUGGUCAAAAUUUCACAGGCGUGGCAUUCCCGUCGUGGCUCAGUGGUUAACGAGCUUUACUAGCGUCCAUGAGGACACAGGUUUGAUCCCUGGCCUCACUUAGUGGGUUAAGGACCUGGCGUUGCCGUGACCUGUGGUGUAGGUCACAGAUGCGGUUCAGAUCCCAGCUCUGUGCUCUGGGGUUGGGGACCAGCCACGAGACUUGUGGCUAAAGGUGCUGGUGUCCACAAUUUGGUGUCACAGCACGGCUGGGAGGGGCCCUCUGUCUCUGCACCUGGAGAAGUGUGGAGUUGGCAGGACUCAGUCUGGUUAGAGAGGAGCAGCCAAGUUUGGUCCUCAAUUUUGCCCAGAAUUCCCCAGAGCCAAGGAAUGUCCCCCAAGCAGUCUGGUCCCUUCCCUCCGGGUCAGCACAGGCGUGAGGGCAGGUCCAGGGCACUAGGUGAGGGCCCAGGACCAAGGAGGGUUGGGAAUUCAGAACACCUCCACCCCGCUGUGCAGGAGGAAGAGUGCCCCUUGCUCAGGGAAGCAGCUUGGCCUGAGAGUGCCCAGGGCCCUGACUCAAACCCCGUCCCUGCUCCCCUCAGGGCACCGCAGACCCCACAGUAGCUGGUGUCUGACUGGAGCUUCUGGGCUGUGACCUCGACUCAUCACCCUGUGACCUGCUCAGAAACGACCCUCCCGGCUCUGGACCAGCCCUUGGUCCCUGGCUUCUUCCUAGGGUUCCCCUGGUGUCACCUAAACAGCCCAGACUGUGCCCAUCUCCUCUUUAAAUAUUUUUGAGCAGAGGACGGCUGAUUUUAAAAAUAUAAACCAGGAGAUCCCUUCAAGGAUCAGCAGUUAAUGAUCCAGACUAGGAUCCAUGAGGACCCGGGUUCAAUCCCUGGCCUCGCUCAGUGGGUUAAGGAUCCUGCGCUGCCAUGAGCUAUGGUGUAGGUCACAGACGUGGCUCAGAUCUGGCGUGGCUGUGGCUGUGGUGUAGGCCGGCAGCUGCAGCUCCGAUUCGACCCCUAGCCUGGGACCCUCCAUAAGCCGUGGGUAUGGCCCUAAAAAGCAAACAAACAAAAAAAAGCAAAAAGGAAAGAAGCGAGGACCUAGUGUGUGAUGCUAGUGGUUGCCAUGGGCACCGGGGCCAGUUUCCUCUCCUGUAAAAGAUGCUAUCACCUCCCUACCCCCAGGGCCGGCCCAGUGGAGGGAUGUUUUGAAGACUCUAUCACAGCCUGACACAGAUGGUGAAACCACCGCUUUUCAUGGUAAUAGAUUACUCAGAUUUCCCAAAGCAUUGCAACAGCGAGUUCCAGCAGAAGCUAGCGGAUCCCACCCGCUGCAGGGUCAGAUGGGACCGUUAACAGGGCUGGUGGACGGCCUCACCCCACCCUGGGGCCCCUCCCCUCCUCCAAGUGGAAACAGUGACAGCAGCCUGGGGGCUCUGGAGGAGCUGAGGGAAGUGAGUCACCCUGCGGGGGGGGGGGGGGGGGGGUUCAAUGUGAGUGUGAAGAUGCCUUCUCCACUGCCCCGACCAGGGGAAAGGGCUGUCCUAGGCCAAGCAGGUGCCGCAUGUGGGCCAGGACUGCAGCCCCUCGGGCGUUUGUCUUUGCACACCUUUUGCCCGUUUUUCACUUGACAUGACACUCUUUUUUUUUUUGCUUUUUUUUAGGGCCGCACCCAAGGCAUACGGCAGUUCCCAAGCUAGGGGUCCAAUCAAAGCUAAAACUUUCAGCCUACACCACAGCCACAGCAACGCAGGAUCCUAGCCAAGUCUGCCUACACCACAGCUCAGGGCAACGCUGGAUCCUUAACCCACUGCGCAAGGUCAGGGAUCGAACCUGCAACCUCAUGGUUCCUAGUCAGAUUCGCUUCCACUGCACCAUGACGGGAACUCCGCAAUACUUAUUUCUGAAAGUUUUUAUUUGGAAGGGGGUAUGUCUGUUUCAUAACUAUCCUCCCACUUUGUUUUUCAUCCUAAAUUAUAAUUUCAACAUCACUUCAAAUUUAUUUAGUGUGUUUUCUUACAAGUUUUUCUAAAAAAAUCUUUUUACCUUAGAGCCAAUAAAUACUGUCCUGCUUUGUUUUGUCUUUCUGUUCUUUUGCGGUUUUCUUUUGAAGUCAAAUCAGUGUGGAAAUUACCAUAUUCUUUUUUUUUUUUUUUUUGUCUUUUGUCUUUUUAGGCCAGCACCCACGGCACAUGGAGGUUCACAGGCUAGCGGUCCAAUCCAAGCUGUAGCCGCCAGCCUUCGCCACAGCCACAGCCACGCAGGAUCCGAGCCGUGUCUGCAACCUACACCACAGCUCACGGCAAUGUCAGAUCCUUAACCCACAGAGCGAGGCCAAGGAUCGAACCCGCAACCUCAUGGUUCCUAGUCGGAUUUGUCUUGACUGUGCCACAAUGGGAACUCCCCACAGUUGGUUUAGAAAGAUGCAGAUGCACUUUUUCUUUAACUUAUCCAGAGUCCUGCAGCCCAGAAUUAAUCUGCUCUCCAGGCACAGCUGCCCUCCCUCACGGUUUCUAUAAGCUUGGUGCCACAGCCUCGGCCUUCCCGUAAGGGUCUGCUCCUGGCUUGUCUACUGAGAUCAGGUGUCAGUCUGUCCCUGUUCCAGUCUCCAAAUUACUGCCGACUCUAGAGGAAUCGUGCUCUUGCCACACAUUCUAACACCUCCUGCUCCGCCCCAUGCCUCUGCUCACCUCUGCAGAUGCUGGCAGCCACGUCAUGUGUGAAGGGCCCACUCUGCCCUUGGGUUGCAGCUGUGGGCAGGUCCUCUUGGCAUCCAGCCACUCCCACACCCGCCUGGUCCCUCUGCCCUUGGCUCACCCGGAAACACCCGCGUGGUCUCAGGGAUGCCACACCCACAUUCCAGCUUCCUGGGCUGCGGGCGACGUGUCUUUCACUGUGUUUGCUCUUUCCAUGAUUUCCUAACGCUCCAGAGUCUCAGUGAGAAGGGCAGGGAGCCACCCUAGCACCAGCAGACCCCAGGAUGACCAUCUUAGCCUGGUUGCCAACAACAGAGGAACCCAAGAACAACCGGGACCCGGGGGCUCAUGGCUCGUGGCUCAUCUUAGGAGCAUCAGGCCUUGCCCCAACCUGGGAGAGCGGGGUCAGGGGAAAGAUGGACGCUGAGCCUGGACCACGAGGCCUGGCUGUCGUGGAGGCAGCAUGUGGCCGGGGUCAGCACGCCUCCCCCUGUACACGGAACAGGCCUGCCCAGCCCCUGGGCCGGUCCCUUCUCCCCUCCAGCCUGUGCUAUGAGGUCUCAGGUGCCCCUGAGAUCUG